Sander lucioperca (pikeperch) is the source of this 408-nucleotide long non-coding RNA. RefSeq lists it as uncharacterized. NCBI's taxonomy places the organism in Eukaryota, Metazoa, Chordata, Actinopteri, Perciformes, Percidae. The transcript is spliced from 2 exons. The record is from RefSeq and is a predicted model, not a curated record.
GCUCUUGAGGAACUCUCGGGUGAUGAAGCCUCCACCACGGGCCACCAGGAGGCCGUCUUUGUUCAUGCAGGAGGCCAGGAGCGUGAAGAGGGCUUCGUAAACACCGUACUUUAAGAGAGUCACCUAAACGGGUAGAAUCCCAACAGAAACACAUCCUCUUUUAUUCAAGUUAGGCCAAAUCUUUCUUCCCCACUUUUCACAUGGACUGACAGGAAGACAAAUGACAGAUAAAGCACCCCUAAACCCACCUGAUCAUUCAGAUUCAGGCUCUGGAAACCCGGCACCGCCUUGGCGAACUCCGUCAGCUCGGUGACGGUCUCCACCGAGGUGCUCUGGCAGCAGUGGAAGAGCCGGGCUUCAGCCUCCCUCUGCUGGAGCUCCCUACACCCCACAGCCGGAACCACCGCC